Molecule: long non-coding RNA, 1683 nt
Organism: Vigna angularis (adzuki bean)
Lineage: Eukaryota; Viridiplantae; Streptophyta; Magnoliopsida; Fabales; Fabaceae
Exons: 2
Source: RefSeq, a predicted model, not a curated record
UCCAGCGUUGCACGUUGGAGAGGAAGCAAGAGGCCCACGUGAAGACAACACGUAGCGUGCUCCAGCAGAAACAGCAACACACGUAAGAGGGGGUUGCGUCUGGAAAUUUGAUUAGUCCGUGGUCCAUAGCUUUUGAGGAAGUCCACCACGCGUCCAUGAAGCAGCAGCACCGAGAAUGGGAGAAAAGGUGCGCGUAGAGAAGCCCACCAGCAACACGUGGUGGCAGAAGCACUUGGCCUGGUCCAGGAGGCAACACGUGGAAGGAACUCCAAAAAGAAAAUGCAUCCAGCAAAGCAGCGUGAUCCAGAGCACAACACACAAACAACCACGACCAUGAGCAAUUAAUAGCAAGCAGCGUCCAGCGAAAAUGGGGGGUGCAUCCAGCACACGUCCAGCAGCAACCCACGUACAGUCUUCAAGCUUCCACGGUCCAGCACGUGAAGACAAGCUCCAGCCGCAACCUAGAGGGGGCGAAGUUCAUUUUAUUAGUUUGGAUAGAAGCAAGUGCACAGCCAGACGAGUGCUAGAAUGGAGGGUUACGGUUGAAUUCCAAAGAAGUGGUGUCUCGGCCUGUACGUGUGUUGGGCAGCAGCAGCACGGGAGGAGUCUUUGGAUUUAAGCUCCAGUCGUCACUUGUUUUGGAAGUGGUGCUGUGCGCGGAGAAGUCACAUCCGGAGGUGCUACACGGGUUGCUGGAAGAGAAGCGAAGCAGCGUUGGGGAGAGAGCUUAGAUGUGUUCGAGCAGCCACCGAGAGGGAGAGAGUGGUGUCACGGCUGGAAUAGUGUGCAUGCUAGAAGCCUUUAUCAUUUUCAUUUGGUGAUUUAAUGCUUUGGAGAUUUCUUUUCUUUGAGAAAUGAAGAAGUGAUUAAGUGAAAGUUGGUGGGAAGUCACGUCCAGGAGCAAAGGCAAUGGGAUUUCUCUUUCUUUUAGAAAUCAAGCACGGUGAAUGCCCACAUCAACAUUUGGAGGACUUCCACAUCAUGUGCUCUUCAAUGAAACCUCCACAUGUCCAGGAUGACGAUAUGUUCUUAAAGGCAUUUCCGCAAUCAUUACAAGGAGUAGCAAGGGAUUGGCUUUAUUGUCUUCCUUUAGGGUGUAUCACUUCUUGGGAAGAUCUUAAGCGAUUGUUCUUGGAUGAAUUCUUCCCUGCUCAGUAUGGUUACAACAAUAAUCCUGGAUGGAAUGACACUAACUUGGGAUGGUAGGGUACCCUACAGCAACAGCAAUAUCAGGAAGCACCAUCUCAGAAUGCUUUUAUGCCUCCACCAGUCCAGGAGCUACAGCAGCUGCAGUCUUAUGAGCCUGCCGAAAUAGCUCCUCAGCCUUCUACUUCUGAGCUUACAUUGAAGAAGUUAUUAGAGCAGAUGACCAUGCAAAACCUUCAGUUCAAGCAAGAGAACAUGGAGUUUCAGUAGGAAACACAAGCUGUCAUUCAGAGUUUGACUGAUUAGAUAGGGCAGAUGGCCACUCAACUCACUGAGGAAUAGUCUCAAGAUUCAGAGAGACCAUUUCAGACUGUUCAGAUUCCAGAUGAAGUUAGUGUCAUUGACUUAGGAGAUGGGUGACGACAAAUUUAUGAACACCAAAAACGGCGCCACAAACUUGUUUAACAAUCGGCAAGUGUGACCGAAUCGUAUCAAGUAAUAAAACUAGGUAAGACCAAGUAUCGUUUUCCCAAAGGA